Rosa chinensis is the source of this 511-nucleotide long non-coding RNA. RefSeq lists it as uncharacterized. The transcript has 3 exons. Lineage: Eukaryota; Viridiplantae; Streptophyta; Magnoliopsida; Rosales; Rosaceae. The record is from RefSeq and is a predicted model, not a curated record.
UUUGGGGAAUCUUCAAGAAGCGAAGAGACUUAGUUUUGCAAAUUUCAGAUUCAAGAAGUUGGGAAAGCUAGGCUCUUUUGACACACUUACAGGGAGGUGUUUGGACAGGAAGCAAAGAGAAAAGCCCACCGGAAUCAGGAACAAAUGAGCUUCUCAUCAAUACGGAUGAAGCACUAACAACAGACAAAUACCUCCAAAGAACUCAUGUAAAGUAACUGGUUCGAAGUAUAAAUGUAUAUUAUUUUGAUGACAACUAACCACCUUUGCAAUUUUUUUGAACAAAUGUUGGUUAAAAUACCCCAGCUUCUGCCCAAAACAUCAAUUUUUUUUGGAAUAUGUGAAUGCAAGUCCAGCUUUUGUAAUGUGUAAAAUGAUGACAUUUUAAGUUAAGUUAGUGUUUCUUACCUUAUGAAUGCGACUGGACUAUAUACAAAAUUUGGGGAAAAAUGCAAACCCGCAGCAUCGCGCGGGGGUGGUAUCUAGUUAUAUAUAUAUGUAAAGAAUAGGUUUC